This 416-nucleotide long non-coding RNA is filed under the name Medicago truncatula (barrel medic). RNAcentral describes it as "lncRNA gene2437". The record is from RNAcentral. Lineage: Eukaryota; Viridiplantae; Streptophyta; Magnoliopsida; Fabales; Fabaceae.
CCUACUCUCGUAGUCCAGGGUCAAACAACUAGGCCAAAUUCACUUUGGACCAAACAUUAUUCACAUUCUUCCAUCAUGAGGAGAUUUGUUCGUUGCAAUAAGAAAACGACGAUUUAAAACACUGAACGUAACUACUUAUGUCAUCACGAUUAAGUAAUGCUCGACUUUUAUGGAUUCCACCAUUUGUAAUUGUCGACCAACAACUCUCAGCUAUAAAAACCAAGCAACCACCACCUCCACUUUAAAAAAAGAUUUAAAUAGUUUUAACAAUGUACAAUAUAUCUAACCCCUAACCUCCUUCUUUUCUCAAACUCUGAUUUGAGCGUUGGAGUGCAUGCAAGUACACCAUCGCCCGUUGUUCCAACCAUCUACCACAAAUUCCUUUGAAAUUAUUUUUAAAUGAUAAAUAAACUCUU